CUGCAAGCCCCCAGCAUGCUUGGGUCUGGGGUGCCCCUGUGCAUUCCCGCAGUGCUUGAAAGAACAUGUUGAAAUGGUUUGAGGCCUUGCCCUAUUCCAUCCAGAGCAAGGUCAUGAUUGUUUUCUUCCAUAU
Ailuropoda melanoleuca (giant panda) is the source of this 133-nucleotide small nucleolar RNA. Ensembl annotates it as small nucleolar RNA, H/ACA box 9. Lineage: Eukaryota; Metazoa; Chordata; Mammalia; Carnivora; Ursidae. The record is from Ensembl.